This 2928-nucleotide ribosomal RNA is filed under the name Fagopyrum esculentum (common buckwheat). RNAcentral describes it as "eukaryotic LSU rRNA". It matches the Rfam family "Eukaryotic large subunit ribosomal RNA", at positions 1 to 2973 of the family's 3401-position model. The record is from RNAcentral. Lineage: Eukaryota; Viridiplantae; Streptophyta; Magnoliopsida; Caryophyllales; Polygonaceae.
GUGACCCCAGAUCAAACGGGACUACCCGCUGAGUACAUAUCAAUAAGCGGAAGAAAAGAAACUUACAAGGAUUCCCCUAGUAACGGCGAGCGAACUGGGAAGAGUCGAGCAUUAGAAUCGGGCGGCCCCGCGGUCGGAAUUGUAGUUUGGAGAAGCGUCCUUCGCGACGGACCGGGCCCAAGUCCCAUGGAAGGGGGCACUGGAGAGGGUGAGAGCCCCGUCGUGCCCGGACCCUGUCGCACCACAAGGUUCUCUCGGCGAGUCAGGUUGUUUGGGAAUACAGCCCCAAGCGGGCGGUAAAUUCUGUCCAAGGCUAAAUACGGGCGAGAGACCGAUAGCGAACAAGUACCACGAGGGAAAGAUGAAGAGAACUUUGAAAAGAGAGUAAAAGAGUGCUUGAAAUUGACGGGAUGGAAGUGGAUGGGGGCCGGCGAUGCGCCCCCGUCGGAUGCGGAACGGCUUUGCCGGUCCGCCGCGUAUUGAGGGGGCGGCUUAAGCCCAGGCGGUAGAUAUGCCCGCGGAGCGCCGUCCAAGCGAUCGUGGAACCCAGCGCGCGCCGCAAGGUGAAUCAACCGCGCGCUUCGGGCAUCCGCCGGCGGGCCCUCAUUCGGCCCGUCUUGAAACAUGGACCAAGGAGUCUGACAUGUGUGCAAGUCAUCGGGCGAGUAAACCCGUACGGUGAAAGGAAGCUAAUUGGCGGGAUCCCCUAGCGGGCUGCACCACCGACCGACCUUGAUCUUCUGAGAAGGGUUCGAGUGCGAGCAUACCUGUCGGGACACCAAAAGAUGGUGAACUAUGCCUGAACGGGGCGAAGCUAGAGGAAACUCUAGUGGAGGCCCGAAGCGAUACUGACGUGCUAAUCGUUCGUCUGACUUGGGUAUAGGGGCGAAAGACUAACAAAACCGUCUAGUAGUUGGCUCCUUCAGAAGUUUCCCUCGGGAUAGUUGGAGCUCGUGCGAGUUCUAUUGGUUAAAGCCAAUGAUUAGAGGCAUCGGGGGCGCAACGCCCUCGACCUAUUCUCAAACUUUAAAUGGUAGGAUGACGCGGCUGCUUAGUUGAGCUGCGCCACGGAAUCGAGAGCUCUAAGUGGGCCAUUUUUGGUAAGUAGAACUGGCGAUGGGGGAUGAACCGGAAGCCGGGUUACGAUGCCCAACUGUGCGCUAAGCUAGAUCCUACAAAGGGAGUUGGUCGAUUAAGACAGCAAGACAGUGGUCAUUGAAGUCGAAAUCCGCUAAGGAGUGUUGAACAACUCACCUGCCGAAUCAACUAUCCCUGAAAAUGAAUGGCGCUUAAGCGCGCGACCUAUACCCGGCCGUCGGGGCAAGAGCCAGGCCCCGAUGAGUAGGAGGGCUCGGCGGUCGGCGUAAAACCAGCGGCGCGAGUUGGGGCGGAGCGACCGUCGGUGCAAAUCUUGGUGGUAGUAGAAAAUAUUCAAAUGAGAACAUUGAAGGCCGAAGAGGGGAAAGGUUCCAUGUGAACGACCCUUGCACAUGGGUUAGUCGAUACUAAGAGUCGGGGGAAGCCCGUCCCAUAGGCCGCGAGCGCGAACUUCUAAAGGGAAUCGGGUUAAAUUCCCGAACCAGGACGUGGCGGUUGACAACAACGUUAGGGAGUCUGGAGAUGUCGGCGGGGGCCUCAGGAAGAGUUAUCUUUUCUAUUUAAGAGCCUGCCCACCCUGGAAACGGCUCAGCCGGAGGUAGGGUCCAGUGGCUGGAAGAGCGUCGCACGUCCCGCGGCGUCCGGUGCGCCCUCGGAGGCCCUACAAAAUCCGUAAGACCGAGUGCCGAUCACUCCCGGUUAUACUCAUAAUCGCAUCAGGUCUCUAAGGUGAACAGCCUCUGGUUAAUGGAACAAUGUAGGCAAGGGAAGUGGCAAAACGGAUCCGUAACCUCGGGAAAAGGAUUGGCUAUGAGAGUUGUGCACGGGCGUCCCACCUCCGAAUCCGUCGGCUGUCGGCGGAAGGCUCGAGCUGCUCACACGGCGAGAGCGGGUCGCCGUGGACCGGCCGGGGGACGGGCUAGGAACGAAUCCUUCGGGGGCCUUCCCCGGACAUCGAACAAUCGACUCAGAACUGGUACGGACAAGGGGAAUCCAAUUGUUUAAUGAAACAAAGCAUUGCGACGGUCCUUGCGGAUGUUAACACAAUGUGAUUUCUGCCCAGUGCUCUGAAUGUUAAAGUGAAGAAAUUCAACCAAGCGCAGGUAAACAGUUGGAGUAACUAUGACUGUCAUAAGGUAGCCAAAUGCCUCGUCAUCUAAUUAGCGAUGCGCAUGAAUGAGUUAACGAGAUUCCCACUGUCCCUGUCGACUAUCCAGCAAAACUACAACCAAGGGAACGGGCUUGAUAGAAUCAAUGAGGAAAGAAGACCCUGUUGAGCUUGACUCUAGUCCGACUUUGUGAAAUGACUUGAGAGGUGUAGGAUAAGUGGGAGUCUUGCGGCGAAAGUGAAAUACCGCUACUUUAAACGUUAUUUUACUUACUCCCUGAGCCGGAAGCGGGGCAUCGCCCUGCUUUCUAGACCCAAGGGCCGCGUCCAAGGCCCGAUCCGGGCGGAGGACAUUGUCAGGUGGGAAGUUUGGCUGGGGCGGCACAUCUGUUAAAAGAUAACGCAGGUGUCCUAAGAAGAGCUCAACGAGAACAAAAAUCUUGUGUGGAACAGAAGAGUAAAAGCUCGUUUGAUUCUAAUUUUCAAUACGAAUACGAACCGUGAAAGCGUGGACUAACGAUCCUUUAGACCUUCGGAAUUUUAAGCUAGAGGUGUUAGAAAAGUUACCACAAGUAUAACUACCUUGUGGCAGCCAAGCGUUCAUUACGACAUUGCUUUUUGAUCCUUCAACAUCGGCUCUUCCUAUCAUUGUGAAGCAUAAUUCACCAAGUGUUGGAUUGUUCACCCACCAAUAGGGAACGUGAGCUGGGUUUAGACCGUCA